CCGACGUCACGAGACGGCGGCGAGUCUAUAAGAGCGAGGCUGGAGACACCGUGCGCCUCUUUCUCAGUUACCGGAGGUUGGUUUUACGUGAGGCACAGACGGUUAAACGGAGCCAUCAUGCCGGUGGCCCGGAGCUGGGUUUGUCGCAAAACCUAUGUGACCCCUCGGAGACCUUUCGAGAAGUCCCGCCUCGACCAAGAACUGAAACUGAUCGGCGAGUAUGGGCUCCGGAACAAACGUGAGGUCUGGAGGGUCAAAUUUACCCUGGCCAAAAUCCGCAAGGCUGCCCGGGAGUUGCUGACCCUGGAUGAGAAAGACCCGCGGCGUCUGUUUGAAGGUAACGCCCUGCUGCGGCGACUCGUCCGCAUCGGGGUGCUGGACGAAGGCAAGAUGAAGCUGGAUUACAUCUUGGGCCUGAAGAUUGAGGAUUUCUUGGAGAGACGCCUGCAGACCCAGGUCUUUAAGCUAGGCUUGGCCAAGUCCAUCCACCACGCCCGCGUGCUGAUCCGCCAGCGCCAUAUCAGCCCUCGGAGGUGAUGAAGGUGUGAGCUCACCUCAAGGGUACAGACUGACCCCUACAAACAGCUCAUGGGGGCACUGGGGGCAGCCUCAUCCCCCCAUAGCCCAGCGCAAGGGUCACUGCGGCUGGAGCCGUACACCUUGCGAAGGUUUCCGCCAGGCAUGCGAGUAGCUGGACAGGGUCCGCAAGCAGGUGGUGAACAUCCCAUCCUUCAUUGUCCGCCUGGACUCUCAGAAGCACAUCGACUUCUCCCUGCGUUCUCCGUAUGGGGGCGGCCGGCCAGGCCGCGUGAAGAGGAAGAAUGCCAAGAAGGGCCAGGGUGGGGCUGGAGCCGGCGACGACGAGGAGGAGGAUUGAGCCCACCCAUCCCCUGGCUAGGUUCCCAGUCAGAUAAUAAAAAGAGAUGAACACUUGAGAA
Molecule: RNA transcript, 938 nt
Organism: Camelus dromedarius (Arabian camel)
Lineage: Eukaryota; Metazoa; Chordata; Mammalia; Artiodactyla; Camelidae
Gene: RPS9
Gene name: ribosomal protein S9
Exons: 6
Source: RefSeq, a predicted model, not a curated record